Molecule: ribosomal RNA, 460 nt
Filed under: uncultured bacterium
Lineage: Bacteria
Description: partial 16S ribosomal RNA
Rfam family: Bacterial small subunit ribosomal RNA
Source: RNAcentral
CCUACGGGUGGCAGCAGUGAGGAAUAUUGGUCAAUGGGAGAGAUCCUGAACUAGCCAAGUCGCGUGCAGGAAGACGGCCCUAUGAGUUGUAAACUGCUUUUGUAUGGGAAUAAACGCAGAUACGUGUACCUCUUUGAAUGUAUCUUAUGAAUAAGGAUCGGCUAACUCCGUGCCAGCAGCCGCGGUAAUACGGAGGAUUCAAGCGUUAUCCGGAUUUAUUGGGUUUAAAGGGUGCGUAGGCGGGCGGAUAAGUCAGAGGUGAAAGCUCGCGGCUCAACUUCGGAAUUGCAGUUGAUACUGUUCGGCUAGAGAGUAGUUGCGGUAGGCGGAAUGUAUGGUGUAGCGGUGAAAUGCUUAGAGAUCAUGCAGAACACCGAUUGCGAAGGCAGCUUGCCGGGCUGCUACUGACGUUGAGGCACGAAAGCGUGGGUAGCAAACAGGAUUAGAUACCCGAGUAGUC